AGAGUUUGAUCCUGGCUCAGGACGAACGCUGGCGGCGUGCCUAAUACAUGCAAGUAGAACGCUGAAGGAGGAGCUUGCUUCUCUGGAUGAGUUGCGAACGGGUGAGUAACGCGUAGGUAACCUGCCUGGUAGCGGGGGAUAACUAUUGGAAACGAUAGCUAAUACCGCAUAAGAGUGGAUGUUGCAUGACAUUUGCUUAAAAGGUGCACUUGCAUCACUACCAGAUGGACCUGCGUUGUAUUAGCUAGUUGGUGGGGUAACGGCUCACCAAGGCGACGAUACAUAGCCGACCUGAGAGGGUGAUCGGCCACACUGGGACUGAGACACGGCCCAGACUCCUACGGGAGGCAGCAGUAGGGAAUCUUCGGCAAUGGACGGAAGUCUGACCGAGCAACGCCGCGUGAGUGAAGAAGGUUUUCGGAUCGUAAAGCUCUGUUGUAAGAGAAGAAUGAGUGUGAGAGUGGAAAGUUCACACUGUGACGGUAUCUUACCAGAAAGGGACGGCUAACUACGUGCCAGCAGCCGCGGUAAUACGUAGGUCCCGAGCGUUGUCCGGAUUUAUUGGGCGUAAAGCGAGCGCAGGCGGUUAGAUAAGUCUGAAGUUAAAGGCUGUGGCUUAACCAUAGUAGGCUUUGGAAACUGUUUAACUUGAGUGCAAGAGGGGAGAGUGGAAUUCCAUGUGUAGCGGUGAAAUGCGUAGAUAUAUGGAGGAACACCGGUGGCGAAAGCGGCUCUCUGGCUUGUAACUGACGCUGAGGCUCGAAAGCGUGGGGGGCAAACAGGAUUAGAUACCCUGGUAGUCCACGCUGUAAACGAUGAGUGCUAGGUGUUAGACCCUUUCCGGGGUUUAGUGCCGUAGCUAACGCAUUAAGCACUCCGCCUGGGGAGUACGACCGCAAGGUUGAAACUCAAAGGAAUUGACGGGGGCCCGCACAAGCGGUGGAGCAUGUGGUUUAAUUCGAAGCAACGCGAAGAACCUUACCAGGUCUUGACAUCCCUCUGACCGCUCUAGAGAUAGAGCUUUCCUUCGGGACAGAGGUGACAGGUGGUGCAUGGUUGUCGUCAGCUCGUGUCGUGAGAUGUUGGGUUAAGUCCCGCAACGAGCGCAACCCCUAUUGUUAGUUGCCAUCAUUUAGUUGGGCACUCUAGCGAGACUGCCGGUAAUAAACCGGAGGAAGGUGGGGAUGACGUCAAAUCAUCAUGCCCCUUAUGACCUGGGCUACACACGUGCUACAAUGGCUGGUACAACGAGUCGCAAGCCGGUGACGGCAAGCUAAUCUCUUAAAGCCAGUCUCAGUUCGGAUUGUAGGCUGCAACUCGCCUACAUGAAGUCGGAAUCGCUAGUAAUCGCGGAUCAGCACGCCGCGGUGAAUACGUUCCCGGGCCUUGUACACACCGCCCGUCACACCACGAGAGUUUGUAACACCCGAAGUCGGUGAGGUAACCGUAAGGAGCCAGCCGCCUAAGGUGGGAUAGAUGAUUGGGGUGAAGUCGUAACAAGGUAGCCGUAUCGGAAGGUGCGGCUGGAUCACCU
Molecule: ribosomal RNA, 1534 nt
Filed under: Streptococcus pneumoniae
Lineage: Bacteria; Bacillati; Bacillota; Bacilli; Lactobacillales; Streptococcaceae
Description: bacterial SSU rRNA
Rfam family: Bacterial small subunit ribosomal RNA
Source: RNAcentral